RNAcentral lists this ribosomal RNA (442 nucleotides) under uncultured bacterium. Its description in RNAcentral is "partial 16S ribosomal RNA". It matches the Rfam family "Bacterial small subunit ribosomal RNA", at positions 338 to 795 of the family's 1533-position model. The record is from RNAcentral.
CCUACGGGUGGCAGCAGUGGGGAAUAUUGGGCAAUGGGCGCAAGCCUGACCCAGCAACGCCGCGUGAAGGAAGAAGGCUUUCGGGUUGUAAACCUCUUUUUUCAGGGAAGAAUAGAAGACGUUACCUGACGAAUAAGCCACAGCUAACUACGUGCCAGCAGCCGCUGGAAUGCGUGGGGUGCAAGUAUUGUCCGGAUUUACUGGGUGUAAAGGGCGUGUAGGCGGGUUGACAAGUCAGAUGGGAAAUCCUGGGGCUUAGACGCAGACCUGCCGUGGAAACUGUCGAGCUUGAGUACUGGAGAGGUAGGCGGAAUGCCCAGUGUAGCGGUGAAAUGCGUAGAUAUUAGGAGGAACACCGGUGGCGAAGGCGGUGUGCUGGACAGCAACUGACGGUGAGGCGCGAAAGCGUGGGGAGCAAACAGGAUUAGAUACCCGUGUAGUC